RNAcentral lists this long non-coding RNA (1157 nucleotides) under Anser brachyrhynchus (Pink-footed goose). RNAcentral's name for it is "lncRNA (ENSABRG00000009486.1)". The record is from RNAcentral. Lineage: Eukaryota; Metazoa; Chordata; Aves; Anseriformes; Anatidae.
CCCAGGAUAACACUUCUAGGUCAACAGAUUGCUAAAAGAGUAAUUUCAUUUGUCAUUUCUGUACCUACCAAACUUGACUUUCAUGGAGAAGUGCUUUUUACAAUGCACGUCAGGCUUUAUUAAUCUGAUUUUCCUGUUCCUCUCCAAAGAUAUUUAGUGCUUUAGUAAUGAUCAAUAUACUUGCUCUGAUGAUAAACAAAGACAAAUGAGUCUGUGCAGUCUGGAUGGUAUUUGUAAUUACCACCUCUGUAGGCAUUCAAUUACAUCUGAUGAAAGGGUGACAGAGUUGCCUUGUCUCUCUGACAGAGAUGCAUUUCUGCUGGAUACUGGGCAUGGAGCUGUCAGCAUGCUAAUUUCCUUCACCACAUUCAGUUCACUAUUGCUAGCACCGUCCAGUGUGUCCAUCAAACACAAAUGCCAUGGCAGCCCUUCCAGGGGAGUUGCAGAGGACAUAGCUCAGAGGCUCGCCCUGCUGGAGCCUCACCCAGGCAGCCCGCAUUCGCCAGGGACCGCAUCGCCGUGGCUCAGCGACCGACUGCGAUGGAGGUGGGCCCUGGCUGUGCUGGUCGGCUUUGUUCCCAGCACUGUCCGGGGGAGCCGGUCAGCCUAGCAAAGCGCACGAACCGUAGGACUGUGCCGUCCUUCCUGCUCUGCGAAGGCACCUGGAGCUGGCAGGGAAGUGCCAGGCACUGCAGUCCCAGCCACCACUGCGAGCUCCGUGCCCCUGCUGCAGAGCCACUGGGAUCGGAAGGGGACCGGAAUGGGCGAGAGGCAGGACGCAGGAGAAGGUGACAUCUCCAGAGACAGUAAGACAGAGCCACGCUUCCACCGUAUUUAUGGUGUUUGAAAGGUAUAGCAAAUAAUCCCAUUCACCUUACCCUUGAGAGACCUCUUUCUCCUCCUUUCAUUUGCGUGGAAGCGUGCUGUUGUUCGUCUCACAGCCACAGCAUCCUGAAAGGACUCAGACAAACCGGGAUGUGUUUGGUCAGGCAAGGUGUCUGCACGAUGACGCUUUCCCAUACUCCUUCUCCAUGAAGGAAAUCGUGUGCCAUAAAAAGUAACAGCCAUACAACAUUGUAAAUUGUACUUUAACUAAUCUGCUUUCCGGUUCAAUAUUCCAAUUGUCUGGGGCCUUUUGGGAACGGUUUUCAUUCCUU